RNAcentral lists this transfer RNA (66 nucleotides) under Ictidomys tridecemlineatus (thirteen-lined ground squirrel). RNAcentral describes it as "Spermophilus tridecemlineatus (thirteen-lined ground squirrel) tRNA". It matches the Rfam family "tRNA". From Rfam's summary of the family: Transfer RNA (tRNA) molecules are approximately 80 nucleotides in length. Lineage: Eukaryota; Metazoa; Chordata; Mammalia; Rodentia; Sciuridae. The record is from Rfam by way of RNAcentral.
GAUAUAGCUCACUUGGUAGAGUAUUUGUCUCAUAUGCAGAAUGCCCUGGGUUCAGUCCCCAGCAUC